GGCGGCGACGGGUGUGAGGAACUUGGACGUAGAUAAAGCAUCACAAGCCUAUUAAGCCGCCAACGGGCAGCAGAAGCCCAACAUUGACGACACAGAUGAGGAGCCCUGCGGCUAGGGAGGCGCGGAUGAAAGAUGAGGAGCCUUGCCGCUAGGGAGGCGCAGAUGAAAGAUGAGGAGGAUUGAGGCCUCCGACGCCCCUCCAGUCCUGCAUGCUGGCGUGGUGAGUAACGAGGAGGAGGAGGCAUUUGUUUGUGCUCUGGCAGUGCGGAGGCACUGGCCGGCCGGAGAUGAAGGGCUCGGUUGGCGGGGGUCUUGUCUAUUGGCUCCCAGUCCUAGCGGCGAGCGCGCAAGGUCGGAGAUGGAUUUGGUUGGGUUGGGUUGGAAUUGGAUUGGAUUGAAAAGAAAGGGAAGGGAAGAACGUGUGUCGGCAAGGAGGAGGAAGAAGAAGAUGUAAUAAGGAUGUACGGACUCGAGUUGCCUGCUGACGAAACGCGUGCGUUUGGGUGGAGAUUCGCGCGCGCAGGUGUUUCAUCUGCGCUAGUUACAAUAUCCCACUAUAGAAUAGUGUAGUACUUCGAAGUAGAAAGCCGUGUUUAAUUCUAACACUCAUCUUGAGGAGUCACUCUCAAAGCAUACAUAUGCUGACUCGUGACGUGACAAAACACAUACCGACUGCUUGAAAAGAACUCGUCUUGGAGACUAAACAUGGACAAACGAUUGUGGUGGUAAAUCGAUGUUUGAUGAGAGCAAGCUAGAGACAACGAAACGCCUAGAGACAACGAAAUAUGGAGAAAUGAUUGUGGUGGUACAUAUCAUGGUUUCAAUAUCCCGCAAAAAAAUUGCUCUUUCCUCUAUUGUGUACUUUUUUCUGUGCAUUACUGGUCUCCCGCGUAGUAAGACCGUGUGAAAGCAGCAGCGCGGAAUGGUCUCUCGCCUAGGCUAGGCUACCUGUGACUGAGACGGAUCUGCGUUUACAUAUAGGAUCACUUUUAUUGUUACCGUCUGUCAUAGCUUCAUGUAAAAUGCUAAAGGUCAAUUUGAUUUUCUCAAGGGAAAAGUGUACUUUUAGUCCCUUAACUUUCAAACUGGACAACUUGCACCUCCGUCUCUUGAAACCAGACAAUUUCAGUCCCUUGUCUCGGCUGUUCCAGUUACUUCUAUCCCACAAAUUUAGAUCAAUUCUAUCUAAUUAACCUUUUUGGUUUUGGGAGUAAUCUCACCACAUAAGAGCAUCUCUAGCCCCUCAAACGACCCCUCAAACCUGAACUCUUUAUAUUUUGAAGAGUUAAAUAAAAAUAAUUCCUAGCCAAACUCUUAACUUAAUUCCCUAAAACAUUUUCCACACUAAUUUAUUUCAACAUAUAUUGAAACUGCUCGAUUGAAAUAGAAAUUUAAACAAUGAUAGGAUAAUUCAGUACAUUGUAUAACAUCAACUUAAACUACUCGAUUUGAAAUUAAACUAAAUAAAACUAAUCUUCUUUGGCCAGGAUUUUCUCCCAAUCCGCGUCACCUACGCCGGAGCCUCUGGAGCUGGGGUCACAGACAAAAAUCUAUCUCUACCGCUCCAUCCUCAUCGCCGAGCCCCCACCGGACUGUCUAGCCUCAUCGGUGAUAUUUUUGUAGAGCUCGCAAACCGGGAGCUCCUCAACGACGAGCUCCGAAUGAUUUUCUUGGAGAUCGGCCAUAUACGCCUUGUCGGUGUGUGCGGCCUAGAUCUGCUCAAAGGCCUCCUUAUUAUCCUGCACCUCACGGAGGGAGACUACUUAGGUAUGGACGAAGAUGAGUUACGAGACAUCGCUACUGCUGAGACGAAUCUUUAUCUUCUUAUGGCUGCUGUGGAGGCUAGGUCUUGUUCAACUCUUAAAAAUUUAAGGACUUGUACGUUUUCUUAUAUCAUGAUAAAUGUUUAUUAUUCAUGCUAGAAUUGUAUUAACCGGAAACUUAGUACAUGUGUGAAUACAUAGACAAACAGAGUGUCCCUAGUAUGCCUCUACUAGACUAGCUCGUUAAUCAAAGAUGUUAAGUUUCCUAGCCAUAGACAUGUGUUGUCAUUUGAUGAACGGGAUCACAUCAUUAGAGAAUGAUGUGAUGGACAAGACCCAUCUGUUAGCUUAGCACUAUGAUCGUUUAGUUCAUUACUAUUGCUUUUUUGAUGACUUAUACAUGUUCCUAUGACUAUGAGAUUAUGCAACUCCCUAAUACCGGAGGAACACUUAGUGUGCUAUCAAAAGUCACAACGUAACUGGGCAAUUAUAAAGAUGAUCUACAGGUGUCUCCGAUGGUAUUUGUUGAGUUGGCAUAGAUCGAGAUUAGGAUUUGUCACUCCGAUUGUCGGAGAGGUAUCUCUGGGCCCUCUCGGUAAUGCACAUCACUAUGAGCCUUGCAAGCAGUGUGACUAAUGAGUUAGUCACGGGGUGAUGCAUUACGGAACGAGUAAAGAGACUAGCCGGUGACGAGAUUGAACUAGGUACGAUGAUACCAACGAUCAAAUCUCGGGCACGUAACAUACCGAUGACAAAUGGAACAACGUAUGUUGUUAUGUGGUUUGACCGAUAAAGAUCUUCGUAGAAUAUGUAGGAACCAAUCUGAGCAUCCAGGUUCCGCUAUUGGUUAUUGACCGGAGAUGUGUCUCGGUCAUGUCUACAUAGGUCUCGAACCCGUAGGGUCCACGUGCUUAACGUUCGAUGACGAUUCAUAUUAUGAGUUUAUGUGAUUUGAUGUACCGAAGGUUGUUCGGAGUCCCAUAUGAGAUCACAGACAUGACAAGGAGUCUCGAAAUGGUCGAGACAUAAAGAUUCAUAUAUUGGAAGGCUACAUUCGGACACCGAAAUGAUUCGGGUCGUUUCAGAUAAGUUUCGGAGUACCGGGGGUUACCGGACCCCCCCCCCCUCCGAGAGGUUAUUGCACCUCAUGGGCCUAAUGGUGGAAGAGAGGAGGCAGGCCAAGGUGUGGCGCCCCCCUAGCCAAAACUGAAUUGGACUAGGGCUAGGGGGCCGCCCCCCUUUCCUUCUCUUCUUCCUCUCCUUCCUUCUUCUCCUACUAGGACUAGGAAAGGGGGGGGGGGAACCUACUCCUACUAGGAGUAGGAUUCCCCCCCUUGGGCGCACCCCUUGUGGCUGGCCCUCCUCCUCCACCCCUCCUUUAUAUAUGGGGGAGGGGUGCACCCCAUAGACACACAAGUUGAUCUUUAGCCGUGUGCGGUGCCCCCCUCCACAGUUUUACACCUCAGUCAUAUUGUCAGAGUGCUUAGGCGAAGCCUUGCGUCGGUAACUUCAUCACCACCGUCACCAUGCUGUCGUGCUGACGAAACUCUCCGUCGGCCUCAAUUGGAUCAAGAGUUCGAGGGACGUCACCGAGGUGAAUGUGUGCAGACCGCGGAGGUGCCGUGCGUUCGCUACUUGAUCGGUUGGAUCACGAAGACGUUCGACUACAUCAACCGCGUUACUAAACGCUUCCACUUUCGGUCUAUGAGGGUACGUAGACACACUCUUCCCUGCUCGUUGCUAUGCUUCUCCUAGAUAGAUCAUGUGUGAUCGUAUGAUUUUUUUGAAAUACUAUUUUCCCAACACAAGCGCUACCCGCGCUUCCACGCCGGCGUUAACCUCGUCUAGGAGGUCGAGGAGCACCUCGACCGGGCCCUCACCUGCUUUAACGACCUUGCCCGUUUUGGCAGGGUCGAUUCCCCCAUUGCCUGACUCGUUUCCGACGAGUACGAUGGGUUCCAGAACACAUGCGGUCUGUAUGAUCUCGAUGAGGGCAAGGGGCUCGUGCUCGUGCUGGAGCUUGAUAAGGCGCACUUCCAUCUCGACACCAACUACGAGCUGGAUUGUGAGACUGCGGGGCAAGUAGGGGGGUGAUGAAUCUGGAAGUGCAGGUAUUUCGAAGAGACCUGGUUAGAUUUGUUGCCCCCAUUGCUAGAUGCUCCAUGUCUACUCCUCCGGUUCCUUGGUCAUUAUUGGGUUGUCUCAAUUUUCAGUUUGGAACACAUAGCCGUGAAUUUUUUAUUGAUAUAUUUGUAGGGAAGAUUUGAUGUAUUAUAUCUAAGCUCUCGCGAGCAGGCCUGAUUUUACAGAUGUUUAGAUGUAGCGGUUCCUGUUCAUUUACAACACAACCCUAUGAUCUAAUUUAUAUUUCUUUGAAUUUAUGAAAUGUGUCCUCUCAUGUUGCCGAUUCAACCUUGGAAGUUAUGGUAGAGACGAAAGGUGGUUUGGUCCAUCUGGUGGAUGGGCCGGAAGUGGAGAUAUAUAGUAUGAGUGGACAUAGCAGGAGCAUUAUUGGAGAUAGCAGGAUCACCCACAUAAUCAAAAUGCAAUGGAUUAAAUGAUGAAUGAUGUAGGGAUGUAGAAGGUGAUCAAUGAAAACUUGGAUGGAAAGGUCUGCUAGAGUGGUGAAUUGUGUUUCUUGAAAAAGAGAGGAAGAUACUUGUGUUUGUGGUCUCGUGGAAUAUCAUACAUAAUAUGCAUGUUUAUGGUAAAAAAACUUGAGCAAUAUUUAUAUUCAUUUGUUGGCCCGUGGCAACGCACGGGUGUUGAACUAGUGAGACAUUAUGGUACAACUCAAAAGAUUUUGAAACGAGGCAAAAGACUUGCCAUUUUCAUUGAUUAAGAAGAAGAUAAUUGCCCGGUUAAUUGACGGAAAACCGGGCUAAAGCCGUUACAACACAACCCACAUGACAUGGGCACCACCAGCCAACCUAGCCACUGACAUGGAACAAAAGCCACGACGGCGCAUGCCAACAAAUGACCACACGCGCAAGCAACCGACAACUCCGACUUUGACGACGCAAGGGAAAUAUGCAGGACUUGCGCCGACCAUGCCCCACCGCAGACGACCACUGAAUGCCUGUCAUCAUCACCACCUGGACUCGCUCCACCGCAGCUCCGACUUCAAAGCAACCAGCAACCACGGAAGAGCACCUCGGACACGCCGGGAAGAACCGACUACCGAAGACCAUGCCGCGACCCAAGCUCCAUUCGACGCCAUCAUCAUUGCCAAACAGAAACCAACGCCCUACCUCAGCAGACCACGCGGCAAAGAAGCCGCCCUCCACAACAAGGAUGUCGUCAUCCACUAGUGUCGGUGUACAAAAGUAGGGGUUCUUCUUUUGACCCCUUUACUUGUGCACAAGCAGUUAGAGCCGCGCGCCACUGCCACACUUAGCAGGGAAGAAGAGGGAAGCUGGAGAGAAGCCGAAACACGAGGCAACCAAGGCAAUGCCAAGACCAGAAACGCAAGAGAGCAAGAGGGCCAGGUGGACUCCCUCGGCAAGAUCCUUGCCGAGGUAGCCUCUGUAGCCCUGGCAAGAGCCUUGCCGAGGCAACUUGCCCGAUGCCAGCGGAGUGAGCCACCCUUGAGCCCACAGGCUCCAACCCAACCAACUACAUUGGAACCAGGGCUCAGGAGGCGCCUCUGUGGUGGCAUGCAAAUCUUCGUCAAGAUCAUAAACAUGUGAGAUCAGAUGAGGACCAGAAGAUGGCGACCCUCGGCGGGAUCCUAGCCGAGGAAAUCCACAAGAACCCGAAGACCCUUGCUGGAGACAACUGCAAUGCCACAACAGCACCCUUUCCGGGCCCCCGGCAAUACCUUUGGCGAGGGCAUCAGCAGGACCACUGCCAGGCCCGCGCCUGCCAAGACUCCACCAUCGUCCCCAAGAAGCUGCUAGCUCAACCAGCUGGGAAGGCACCUGCGUGGCGAUGGGCAGCCUCUACACCGACUCAGCAAGCACCUCCAUGGCGGCAUGCGACCCUUCGUUAAGGCUCCACCACCGCGCCAGCCCAGCAGCCAGCCAACGUGGCGCCAUAAUGCCUCAUCAUCUCGGACGCGUGUCGAGGCCAGGCGAGGUGGCGACAGCUGGGAUGUGCUUCCCUGGCAUCCCCGAUAAAGCAAGGAGGGCACGUCGGCAGCGCGUUAUCCUACGGUCCAAGAGGAUAGGAUUGUCAACUGUAGACCUUUUCACCUCCUGUGUGCCACUGUGGCAACCCCUUUUUCUUAUAAAAGAAGGCCCGAGGAGACCAGGAGAGGGAUUCGGCUCAUUUGGGCAAGUUGCACCCCGUAGCUAGCUCAAGAACACAAGAACACUCAAAUACAUCCACCAAAGCAGGACUAGGGUAUUACGCAUCUUCGCGGCCCGAACCUAGGUAAACGAUCCGUGUGCUUCCUGUCAGACCCGCUCUUCGCACAACCCCGCACCCGCCAACCAUAGAAGGGAUCCCGGUGACCCCAUAGGUGUCGUUUCCACCGACAACCAGUCUCCCAGUCGUAGACUACUCCGAGACGAUGCCCCCAAGGAGGAGAAAGACGUGAAGACGCCUCCAUCGCCCGAUCCGGAGGAUUUGAGGUUUCCCUCCGGAGCCAAAGCUAUGGGGAGUAGGAGCGCACCUCCAUGAUGAUGCUUCCAAGAAAGAUCGCGGCACCCGCGGGCACCGCCGUCGCUGGCUCCGGUGGAGACCGAAGCAAGGAUUUCUCCCGGAGAUGUGCCUACCACCCGCCACCACUGACCGCUGCCAACAAACCACGACCCCUACCGAGGCCGACCUCACUCAGGCCACGUGAUCCCACGAUCCACCGCGACCAGAAACGCAACACCCCCCAGCCGAAGCCACCGUCCACCACCGCAGCACCACCGUGACUACCACCACUGCAGCAACCAACGCCGCAUUGGGAUGCGUAGCACCAAGAUUGAAGCACAACCUCCCACCAGAUCCAAAGACAAGCAUGUUCUCCCUCCGCAGCACACCGUGCACUCCAGAGCAGCAUACCCACCAUGCCGAGCCGCCGGUCGCCACGCCCAACACGCGCCAGCCGCCGCCGCGCCCGGCCGUCGAUUUGCACCCCACGCACACUCCCAGAGCCGAGCCGCCGCUGAGCGCAUGCGUGCCAUCCAUGCCCAGGCCACGCCGGGAGCCCGGACCGAGGUCGUCGCCCCGGCGCCCCACCCGCCAAGCACCACUUUUGGAUCUGACGGUAGAACGGACGGCAAGCUAGGUAGCCCCGAUGCCAAUGAAGGCUGACCGGAGGUCAGCAACCACGGACGCGAAGGAAGGAGGCGAAGGGAUGGACGGGACACCACCCAAACGGAAGCUGGAGCAGCCUAGAUGCCGCCCGUCCGAUUCGCUCCCCCAGCACUCGAUCUGGACCACAAGGUCCAGAUCCGCGACGCCCGCACUGGGGGAACCCCAGCCAUAGCUGCACCUAGUUGGAGCAAUCAUCGAGCAUCGCCACCCCAUCCAUCGCUCCACACCGCCCCUAGGACCAGCACUGCGUGGCUCGGGCUCGCCUACGAACACCGAGGCACGAGCAGGAAGUGCCCCGCCGCCGCCGUCCGUCGCGCAGGCUUCACCUGACGACCUCCUCUGGCGGCAGCGAGGUGGCCGACGGAUCUAGUGGGGCGAGCUACGGUGGGGAAAGGGACCGCAGGCCAAUUAGGCCAGUGCAUGCCGUGCGCAGCCCAGGAUGCCCGUCCUGAGGUGGAAGGGGUGCGGGCGGAGGUGGGCUGCUCUGCGAGGCCCAGGCCUGGCCCGUCUGUAGCGCGGCCAGUACUUAACUGGCUAUGGAUCCGUCGGGGCACCUCAGACAGCUCGUUAGGGUUUCCAGCCACUCCAUCGGAGGUGCGGCGCUUCGGUGGAUCCGCACGCUCUCUCUCCCCCCUCUCCUCCCCCACCUCUCGAUCGAUCCUUCGUCGAGGUCGUUGCCAUGGGUUCCAAGGCAGAUCGGCGUGUGGACAAGCGGGCGGAGACGGAUCCGGAGGAGGAGCAGCGUCGCGAGCGAGAUCUGUGCACCCAAGCGAAGGCGCGUGCGGCGGAGCGCGCCGGUGAGGAGGGUGGUUGGGGGCCUCCCCCUCCCUGGUGGCUCAAGGAGCAGGAGUGGAAGAAGAAAAAGAAGGAGGAAUACAAGAAGAAGGGGUUGGAGCUCAAGCGCAAGGAAUCGCUCCACCCCUACAGCGGCGACCGCGUCGGCGAUUGCUUCACCAAGCAGAAGCAGAAGAAGCACAAGCCGGGGAUGCCGGCGGCCUCCAAGCCCCCUCCUCCUAGGGCACGACGGCGGAUCCCAUCCCCGUCGAGGAGGCGGAGGGGCAAAUUAAAGCCAUGAAACAAGUAGCUGGCAAAUCCAAAUUGGAACUAGCUCAAUUCGCAGAGUGACAAGCCUAUUAUUCGCCGGAGUGCUUCAGAUGUGGGCGUACGGGCCACUACCAGAACGAGUGCUCCUUCAAGCAGCUCUGCGUGCUUUGCAGCAAGGAGGGCCACACAUCGGCCUACUGCCCCACGCACGGCAAGCAGUUGGUGCUCCAGACCAUGGGCCACGCAUUCGCUGGUGGCGGCUUCUUCUGCCUGCAGUACCCCGAGGAGGCCGAUGCGGUGGAGGCGGGUUUGCUGGGCCCUAACACGGCCCUGGUGUCGGUGGCGCCCGGCGUGCUGACCAAGGAGAUCCCGGAAGCGGAGCUCCCUCAUCUCUUCGAGGGAGAGUGGGACUGGUAGGUGGCACCUUUCGACGUGGACUGUUUCUCCAUGGCCUUCCCAGAUCCGGUCAUGUUGAGGAUGGCGAUGCGUAGUGGCAAACUUUUCCUCUCCAUCAACAACAUCACGGCUGACAUCCGCGACGUGAUCCUUGCUGAGCCCAAGGCGCUGUCCAUGGCGGAAGUGUGGAUGAAGAUGUGGGGCAUCCCCCCGAAGCAGCGUGCGUGGAGCGUCUGAUGGCGGCCACGACCAUGAUUGGCCGGCUGCUGGUGGUGGAUGAGCUAUCGCUGAUCCGCUCGUGCCCGGUGCGCAUGCGUUUUGAGUGCCGUGCGUCGUCCAAGCUUCGUGGAUCCGUGCAAAUCUGGUUCAAUGGCGAGGGCUACAAGAUCAAGCUCGAGCUGGAGAUGGACCAACCUCGCGAGGCGGCUCCUGCCCUCCCACCCCCUCCCCCUCCUCCCAGCGGUCGUGGUCCGGGUGACCAAGAUAAGGACAAGCACAAAGACAAGGACCAAGAGCAUGAUGCCAGCAUGGAGGAGGACGACUCCAUCGACACGGUGGCGUGGGACAAGCUUGGGAUUUCUGCGUCGGGCCCUGGUGCACCGGUGGAGGGGGCGGCGGUGCAGUGGGCUGAUGUGGAGUUGGGGUCUGCGGGGAUGACGCUCUCGAUCCCCAACCAGUACGGGUCAAACCUGGGGUCGGUAUCUUCAACUCCCAUGUGUGCGGCCCCUGCUGCGUCUGUCGUGGUUCUAAGUCUGACAGUAGUGUAGGGGGGUAAGUAUGGAGAGGCAAGAUCUUAGCUAUGGAGAAGUUGUAAGCACGCAAGGUUUACGAGUUCAGGCCCUUCUCGGAGGAAGUAAUAGCCCUAUGUCUCGGAGCCCGGAGGCGGUCGACUGGAUUGUGUGAGUAUGAGUUACAGAGGUGCGAACCGUUGUCUCGGAGGAGGGGGGUGGCUUAUAUAGAGUGCGCCAGGACCCCGGCCAGCCCACAUUACAAAGGGUUCAAUGUACAUUAAGGCAGGGCAUUACUGGUAACACUAGUAAUAAAGUGCUAUGAUGACCAUAAAAGCUACUUAAUGACCGACUGUUAGCAUGCGGGGUGACUUUAGGUCUCCUGGCCGUCGAGUGGUUGGAUCUUAGUCGAGUGAUUGCUUCUUGGUCAAGUGUCUUCGAGUCUGUCGAGUGGAACACCUCCAAGUCGAUUGAAAGGUGAUUUCUUCUAGAGAUGUCCUUGGGUAGGGCAGUUAGGACAGGUCCAUGACCCUACCCUAGGUACAUAGCUUCAUCAUUAGCCCCCGAAUGGAUCGAGGUUUGAGUGGGGAAAGAGUUGAGGACCUCUCUGACUCGUUUUUCAUGUCGUGAGCAUAUCUUAUUCCGGAUCAACGAACCUGAGUGAUGACAGCAACUUCCUUUUCAGUCGCCUUGAUCCAUUCUUAAUUCUUCGUUGAGUGAGUUUCUUUACCUGUGAGGCUCCGAGUGACGGUGCGGAGGAGAUCUUUUAGUCUGACAAGUUUGUUUGCUGCCCGUAGAUUUCAUGGGAUCUGAAUUUUGGGAAGCACGCGGGACGGGGGAGGCCGCAGUAAUCGGAUGGGAUAGAGCGGAGACGCCUCGAUCCCCGUGCUGCCUUUUUCGUCACAUACCGCGCGCGCGAUCGUUACGGGAUUUGACAGAGCCACCUGGGCCUACCCGUCAGCCACUCGAAAGCGGCCUCAUAUAAGGCGUUGGACCGGAGUCUCCCGAACAGUGCGUUCCCAUUUCCUCUUCUCCUCUUCAUGCCCCUCCGAUGCGCUCGCUCUCGCCCCAGCAUCACCGCUCCGUAUGCGUCUCGCCGCGACAAUGGGGAAGGAGAAGACGGCGGCUCUGGAGCAGGCAAAGAAGGCGACGGCGAGGUCGAGGGGGAAGGCGACCAGCCGGGGCGGAUCUUCCUCGCGGACCGGCCUGCCGAAGGGCUGGAUCCACUCGAGGAUCACCCAAGAAGACCUCGACAACCUGGCCGAAGAGGGGCUGAUCCCCUAUGACUCGGCGCGGCUUCCGGGGAAGGAAUCUAAGCCGCAACCUCGGGAGGGUGAGCGUGUUCUUCUUGCCACCCACGUCGACCGUGGAUUUUCCUUGCCUCCUCACCCUUUCUUUCGAGGGUUUCUGAACUUCUUUGGGGCACAACUCCACCAUUUUACCCCCAACUCAAUCCUUUGUCUCGCCGCUUUCAUUUCUUUGUGUGAGAAUUUCCUGGGUUGCCGGCCUCACUGGGGUCUUUUCAAGCAUAUUUUCACUUGUCGCUCCCAGACAGUGAAAAAGGCUAAUCCGAGUGAUGAGAGGACCCAAGUGAUCCAGAUGUGUGGGGGUCUUGGCAUCUAGACAAGAGGGAAAAGCUCCUUUCCGGCCAUGAUUCUUCCUGACUCAGUUCGCGGAUGGCAGUCGACCUGGUUUUACUGUAAAGACCAGUCGACGCCAGGGCAAUUGACUGGCCCCCCUCCCUUUACCAUGGACCAAGUGGAGAAACCCUCCCCUUUGAAGGUGCUCCCGGAGGAGAAGGCGCACGUGAAGCUGUUGGUCGAUCCAGUGGUCCAGCAUAUUCGUGACGGGGUUACUGGUAUGGAUCUCUUGGAGGUCUUCCUUCAGCGGCGCAUCCAGCCUCUUCAAGCUCGAGACCAUUCGAAAUGGAUGUAUUCGGGUCUUGAAGACUCCACUCGGAUCCACCCGGAGGAGGUCGAUGACGACACACUUGAGAAGUGGCUGUCGGGCAUUACCGGGAACAAGGACAAUCCCAGGGGAGCUAGGAGAGUUCCCCCUUUCGACCAGUCUCAUGCACCAGAGCAGGUCUGAUUCUGAGUUUUUGCUUGUAAUCUGAAUUUACUCGCGAAGCUGCCUAUAUUGCGUCGACUGACUUUGUUCCCCCUACUUCCUUUCAGGCCAUUAUUGAAAUGUAUUCAAUGCCCAACGGGGAGCAAGAGCAAGUACUGGAAGGCGAGGCGAGUGGCGGCGACAGUGGCGAGUGAACUUCCGAUGGUGAAGGGGAUGGAGGAAGCGAUGAAUCAAGUGAUGGAGAAGAAGUCGAGUCGCCCCCUCGCUGGGAGAGGCGAUCCAAGCUCGAACAAGAACGGCCGAGUGCCCGCGACAAGGCAACUACUCAGGCUGGUCAGUCUUCGAAGCGUCCUCGGAUCUCUUCACCAACCCCGACUGAGAAGGCGCCAAAGCACCUCAAAGUUGUAGAGUCGAGGACUCGGAAGGCGUUGCCGAAGAUCAAGAUUGAUAUCCCCGUUGCCUCCGCGUGAGUGUCUCUCUUUGUAUUCACUCGAUGCUCCACGUUGUUUGUUUUUCUUCUUUUAACUGGACGAACUUUCGAAUUGUCAGUGCUGCCACUUCCGAGACCUCAUCUUACAGGGAUGAUGACGAGGUGAUGGAGGAUGCGGUCACUUCUAAUCCGGGUAUGAUUUCUGCCAUACUAUCUUUAUUCGGUCGAUUCAACUGCAAUGUGCCUCAUUGGGUGACGCGAUUUUGGCAAUUGAACUUUGCACAACUCCCAACAUUAUUGACCUCCCUGAUGAUGAUGAAGAGUCCAAGAGGCCUUUGACGAGGAAGAAUAGGCGAGCUCCUGUAAGUGAGGCGCUACAAUCGACGCCGAGGGCGGAGCCAGUCGUUCAGGACACUGGCGACAUCAAUCGGGGUUCUGUUACCUUCGCCGAGCCACUGUCGAGUGCCUUGCCUUCUUCGUUGACUGCUCGAGCCCCUGUCGACCUGCCUUCACUUUUUGCGACCCAUCAUGUCCCGGAGGACGAGGUGAAUGCUUCUAGGGAAGCCAUACGCCAGGCGGGCAUUAUGAUGGAGAAGAUGAAGAUGGUGCGGGACGCCAUCCAAGCCGCCUAUGAUGCCAGCUCGGCUCUCCAGAGCAACGUUUAGGUUAGUUCGUCGCCGCUUGUUCUGUUAGGAUAUGCUACCUGAAGAUUCUUUCCGAAAACCUUUGCAUCUGUACACCCACUGGGUGCGUCGAUUGAAUUUUUGGACUAGUGGGGGCACGCUGAGUGCACCCACUGGGUGUAGUCCCCGAGACUAUGGUGGACUGCUGGCAGUCGACUGUAGUCUUCGUAUUUUGCCGAAUGUAUAAAUCAAACUGGUAGUUUGUCUCUUCCACUCGGUCUGGUCGAGUGGGAUCAGAACCGGUGGGGGUACACUAAGUGCACCCACUGGGUGUAGUCCCCGAGACUAUGAUGGACUGCUGGCAGUCGACUGUAGUCUGAGUUCUACUUUCUCUCUUUCUGCCUUUUUUUUGGACUCGACUUCGGCGGGCCGGUCGAGUGGGAUCAGAACCGGUGGGGGCACACAAAGUUCACCCACUGGGUGUAGUCCCCGAGACUAUGGUGGACUGCGGGAAGUCGACCGUAGUCUUAGUAUUUAUUGCCUUUGUUGUUUUUUGCUGUAAAAAUAACUUCUUCCCUUUGAUUUCAGAAAUCUUGUGAUCUUGGAGCUCACUUUGCAGACUUGGAGAAUCAGCAGAUUCAACUGAACCUUGACUUGGAGCUGGCCAGGACAGAGCUGCAAAAGGUCAGAUACGGCGCCGCAGGUAAGACGAGUUUGUCGACUGGUCAGUUUUAGGCUUGAGUACCAUUCUGCUAUUUCUGAAUCAAUCAUCAUUUCUUUGCAGAAAAACUGAGAGAAGCUCUGGCGAAGAAGGAUCAGGAUUUGGCCGCUGCUCGUAAGGAGGCUGACGACAAGACCGCUCUGGCCGAACAGAAGCUGGUUUCGGUCGGCCGGUUGGAAGAAGAGAAUACCAGGCUGAAGAACGCUCUGAAUGACUCCAACAAGGAGUGCUUGCGCUGGAAGAAGGAGAAUCUCAUCCAGGGCGAGAAAAUGGAAGGUAUUUCUCGCAGGAGGGAUGAUCUGGAGAGCUAUCUGAGAAGUCUUGCCAUUAAGUUAUUCAUCAAGCUUGAAGGUGCACAUUCUGUUCUGACUUAUUUUUUUGUGUCGACUCAGUGUACGAAAAUUGAAUUAUCCUUGGAUUUUGAAUGCAGAGUUUUGCCAGAACUCAGAAGAGGAGACUGGGCGGAUCGAACCAGGUUUAGAUCCAAUCAACUCUCCCGUGAAAGAUGAAACUGCCAUGAAUCUGCUCCGUUUGGAAUCUCGCAUCGACAGUGCCGUGGACUACUUGGCUCGACUGAAGGUUGCCAUGUCGCGGAUUGACCCGGCACUUUGGCCAGAGGCUGUGCUCCAAAAUGAUAUUGAGUCCCUGAUGACUCGACUAACUGAAAUCCUCGACCGAGUGCAGGAGUAGAAGAAGUCUGCUGCUCGGUGUGGCGCUGACGUGGCUCUGUCUUUCGUUCGUGUCCGCUGCAAGGAGGUGCGACAGGACAAACUAGCAGCAAUCAAGGUCGCCAACACCCAGAAGCAUGACUUCCGAACCUUUAUGGAGACUUUCAUCGCUGCAGCCACUCGGAUAGCCGACGGCGUCGACCUGGAUGAGUUCGUCGAGCCUGCCAGCCCUCCUCCCGCAGAGUGAACAAACUCUUAUGGCUCACCUUAAAUUUGCCUCGGAAUGCCGAGUGGUUUUUGUAACCGUUAAACUUUUUUGGGCUGCAUGCCCGAGUACUUCGAUCUAUGAUCUGGAACCUUUAGAAUUUACCUGAACUUGGUUUACCGUUGAAUAUCUUUAUGAAUCUCCUGCUGAGUGAACCCAUUCUUCAUUCGAUACAACUUUUGUAUUCGCAGCGCAGCGUUGAAGGAGAGGGAAGCAGUUGACCCAUGUCUUGUACUUGUGGCUAAGCUCCCCAGGGGAAGGCGGCGGUCGACCCACACCCCGUUACUGCAGAGUGGAUGGAACACACAUUGUAUUUGUGGCGAAACUCCCCAGGAGAAGGUGGUAGUCGACCUGACCCUCAUCGUCCUUGAGGAUUGAGAUGUGUUUCGUACUUAGGCAAGUUCUGGACUGCAGCUAAGCCCGAAUGGGAGGAUUGCUCUCCACUCGGUUGGAUUUUUUCAAACUUAGGCGAGUGCCGGAAUGCUAAGUCUCUAAGUGAGAGAACUUAGGCGAGUACUGGACUGCAGCUAAGCCCCCGAGUGGGAGGAUUGCUCUCCACUAGGUAGGAUUUUUUCAAACUUAGGCGAGUGCCGGACUGUAGCUAAGUCUCCAGUGAGAGAACUUAGGCGAGUACUNNNNNNNNNNNNNNNNNNNNNNNNNNNNNNNNNNNNNNNNNNNNNNNNNNNNNNNNNNNNNNNNNNNNNNNNNNNNNNNNNNNNNNNNNNNNNNNNNNNNNNNNNNNNNNNNNNNNNNNNNNNNNNNNNNNNNNNNNNNNNNNNNNNNNNNNNNNNNNNNNNNNNNNNNNNNNNNNNNNNNNNNNNNNNNNNNNNNNNNNNNNNNNNNNNNNNNNNNNNNNNNNNNNNNNNNNNNNNNNNNNNNNNNNNNNNNNNNNNNNNNNNNNNNNNNNNNNNNNNNNNNNNNNNNNNNNNNNNNNNNNNNNNNNNNNNNNNNNNNNNNNNNNNNNNNNNNNNNNNNNNNNNNNNNNNNNNNNNNNNNNNNNNNNNNNNNNNNNNNNNNNNNNNNNNNNNNNNNNNNNNNNNNNNNNNNNNNNNNNNNNNNNNNNNNNNNNNNNNNNNNNNNNNNNNNNNNNNNNNNNNNNNNNNNNNNNNNNNNNNNNNNNNNNNNNNNNNNNNNNNNNNNNNNNNNNNNNNNNNNNNNNNNNNNNNNNNNNNNNNNNNNNNNNNNNNNNNNNNNNNNNNNNNNNNNNNNNNNNNNNNNNNNNNNNNNNNNNNNNNNNNNNNNNNNNNNNNNNNGUACUGGACUGCAGCUAAGCCCCCGAGUGGGAGGAUUUCUCUCCACUCGGUAGGAUUUUUCAAACUUAGGCGAGUGUCGGACUGCAGCUAAGUCUCCAUGUGAGAGAACUUAGGCGAGUACUGGACUGCAGCUAAGCCCCUGAGUGGGAGGAUUUCUCUCCACUCGGUAGGAUUUUUUCAAACUUAGGCGAGUGCAGGACUGCAGCUAAGUCUCCAAGUGAGAGAACUUAGGCGAGUACUAGACUGCAGCUAAGCCCCCGAGUGGGAGGAUUUCUCCCCAUUCGGUAGGAUCUUUUCAAACUUAGGCGAGUGCCGGAUUCGCAGCUAAGCCCCUGAGUGGGAGGCUGGCUCGCCACUCGGUAGGAAACUGUUUUUACAAACUUAGGCGAAGCGGAUUCGCAGCUAAGCCACCCACUGGGGGAUUUCUUACACAAACAAAAACAAUAAUAAUCACAGGAAAAAUUAUAAUGCUCUUGUCUUUGAUAAAUAAACUACAGGAGUUUUUCUUAUUACAUCUCAUCCGAGUGAGAAUUCAAGUAUAAAAGGGGUGGAGUAGCUCCGCAUUCCAGGCUCGUGGCUCAUCAAUCUGGCGAUCCACAUUGUAGAUGUGGUAUGCUCCAUUGUGGAGGACUCUGGUGACUAUGAAGGGGCCUUCCCAAGUAGGAGCGGGCUUGUGUGGUUUCUGCUGAUCCACUCGGAGGACUAAGUCUCCUUCUUGGAAGGCUCGGCUCUUCACGUUCUUGGCAUGGAAUCGACGCAAGUCUUGCUGAUAGAUGGUAGAUCGAAUCAAUGCCAUUUCUCUUUCUUCUUCUAGGAGGUUGACUGCGUCCUACCGGGCUUGUUCUGCUUCAUCUUCUGAGUAGAGCUCGACUCUGGGAGCGUUGUGAAGCAGGUCACUCGGUAAGACUGCCUCGGCUCCGUAGACCAGAAAGAAUGGGGUUCUUCCGGUCGAUCGAUUCGGGGUUGUCCUCAAUCCCCAAAGGACUGGUGGAAGCUCGUCGACCCAUGCACCUGCUGCGUGCUUGAGAUCGUGCAUCAAUCGGGGUUUCAGUCCUUUGAGAAUUAGGCCGUUUGCCCUUUCUGCUUGCCCAUUCGACUGGGGGUGAGCGACCGAAGCAUAGUCGACCCAAGUGCCCUGAGAGGCGCAAAAGGACCUGAAUUUGUCGGAAUCGAAGUUUGACCCGUUGUCGGUGAUGAUGCUGUGUGGAACUACAUAUCUGAAUAUCAACUCUCUGAUGAAACUGAUAGCGGUUCAAGCAUCAAGAUUCUUGAUAGGCUUGGCUUCAAUCCAUUUGGUGAACUUGUCGACUGCUACCAGCACAUGAGUGAAGCCUCUCCUACCUGUUCUCAGUGGUCCAACCAUGUCCAACCCCCAAACAGCGAAAGGCCAGACAAGUGGAAUGGUUUUCAGGGCUGACGCGCGCUUGUGCGGCAUAUUGGAGUAAUACUGACAUCCUUCACAUUUGUCGACUAUCUCUUUGGCCAUCUCAUUGGCUCUUGGCCAGUAGAACCCCGCUCGGUAUGCUUUAGCCACAAUGGUCCGAGAGGACGCAUGAUGACCACAGGUCCCCGAGUGGAUAUCGUUAAGGAUCAUCUGACCUUCUUCUGGUGUAAUACACUUCUGGCCGACCCCAAUCGCGCUUUCUCUAUAUAACUGUCCCUUUAUGACUGUAAAGGCCUUGGAUCGACAGACGAUCUGUCGAGCCUCUUCUUUGUCUUCUGGGAGUUAUUUCCUUAGGAUGUACGCGAUGUACGGUUCUGUCCAGACGGGAGUGAUAACCAAGACUUCCAUGAUCAGGUCGACCACAUCUGGAACUUCAACUUCAGUCGUAUCCGUGGCACUUUUUGGCUGCGGGGCCUCUUCAGUGAAGGGAUCCUCCUGGACUGAUGGUGUUUGGAUGUGUUCCAAAAACACAUUGCUGGGAAUGGCUUCUCUUUUGGAACCUAUUUUUGCCAGAUCAUCAGCUGCUUGAUUUUUCAGUCGGGGUAUGUGAUGAAGCUCUAACCCCUCGAAUUUCUUCUCCAGCUUUCUCACUUCAUUGCAAUAACCAGUCAUGGCUGGACUUCUGAUGUCCCAUUCCUUCAUCACUUGAUUGACCACCAAAUCUGAGUCGCCGAGUGAAAGGGCCAUGCGCAACCCAUAUAAAAGUGCUUCUUAUUCUGCCUCGUUGUUAGAGGAAUCAAAGUGUAUUUGAAGAACAUAUCUGAGUUUAUCUCCUCUGGGGGAGACCAACACCACUCCGGCUCCGGAACCAUUUAGCAUCUUGGAACCGUCAAAGAACAUGGUCCAAUGCUCCGAGUGAACCUGAGUCGGCAGUUGUUGUUCAAUCCACUCGGUGACGAAAUCCGCGAUUGCCUGGGACUUGAUAGCUUUCUUUGCCUCAAACAUGAUAUCUAGAGGAAGAAGUUCAAUCGCCCAUUUUGCCACUCGACCAGUUGCGUCCCUGUUAUGCAAGAUCUCUGACAACGGAGCAUCGCUGACGACUAUAAUGGAAUGAUCAGAGAAGUAGUGGGCAACUUUCUUUGUGGUCAUGUAAAUCCCAUAUACGAGCUUCUGAUAAUGAGGAUAUCUUUGCUUCGAUGGGGUCAAGACUUCAGAAAUAUAAUACACUGGGCGCUGAACUUUGAAGGUUUUCCCUUCUUCUUCCCGCUCGACCGUAAGUACUGUACUGACAACUUGUCCUGUGGCUGCAAUGUAAAGCAGCAAAGGCUCCUUGUUGAUUGGGGCAGCAAGCACCAGCUGGGUGGAGAGGAGAGCUUUGAGCUGUGCGAACGCUGCGUCAGCUUUAGGAGUCCACUCGAACUUGUCAGACUUCUUCAUCAAUCGGUAAAGAGGCAAUGCCUUUUCACCGAGACAAGAUAUUAAUCGACUUAGGGCGCCAAGCAACCAGUAAGCUUCUGAACAUCGUGCACUCGCACAGGUCUUUUCAUUCAGAGUAUAGUACCGACUUUUUCUGGAUUGGCGUCGAUUCCCCGUUCGAAAACAAGAAAACCGAGUAACUUUCCGCCAGGAACCCCAAAUGUGCAUUUUGAUGGAUUAAGCUUGAUAUCAAACCUUCUGAGGUUGGCAAAGGUUUGAGCAAGGUCAGUCAGCAGGUCGGAACCCUUCCAUGACUUGACCACAAUAUCAUCCAUGUACGCCUCCACAUUCCGACUAAUUUGGGUGAGCAAACACUUCUGAAUCAUCCUCAUGAAUGUGGCUCCGGCAUUCUUGAGGCCGAAUGGCAUGGUAAGAUAACAGAAGCACCCGAAUGGAGUGAUGAAAGCUGUUUUGAUUUCGUCAGGCCCAUACAGACGGAUCUGAUGGUACCCGGAAUAGGCGUCUAAAAAAGACAGUCGCUCACAUUCCGAGUCGACUAUCUAGUCAAUGCGGGGGAGAGGAAAAUGAUUUUUCGAACAGGCCUGAUUGAUAUGUUUAAAGUCAAUGCACAUGCGCAGUGACUUGUCCUUCUUGGGGACCAUGGCAACAUUGGCAAGCCACUCAGAGUGGUAGAUUUUUCGGAUGAACUCCGUCGCUAAGAGCCGAGCCACCUCUUCGCCAAUGGCCUUUCUCUUCUGGACGGCGGACCGUCGGAGAUGUUCCUUGACAGGUUUUACUUUUGAGUCGACUCUUAGGCGGUGCUCAGCCAGCUCCCUGGGAACACCCGGCAUGUCAGAGGGCUUCCAUGCGAAAAUGUCCCAGUUCUCAUGGAGGAACUGGAUGAGCGCUUCUUCCUAUUUGGAGUCGAGUGUUGUUGAGAUAUGAGUUGGAGCAGCGCUGGGGUCGGUCGGGUGGAUAUGAGUUGUCUUUGUAUCGCCAGUCGACUGAAAAGCUGACUCCGUAGCGGGCUUCUUGGCUCGCAACAAGUCACUCGGGUCUGCAGUCUUCUGGUAUUCCUGCAACUCCACCACUGCCGUCUGAGCAUCGGCGAUCUUCGAAACUUUUUAAAAACAUUCUUCCGCUUUCUUCCGAUUGCCCGUAAUAGUGAUCACACCUUUGGGGCCAGGCAUCUUCAAUUUGAGAUACACAUAACACGGUCGGGCCAUGAAGCGUGCAUAAGCCAGCCUGCCCAAAAUAGCGUGGUAGGCACUCUGGAAGUAUACAACUUCAAAUAUCAACUUCUCUUUGCGGUAAUUCUUGGAAUCACCGAAAACCACAUCAAGAACAAUCUACCUGAGUGAUUCAGCCUUCUUCCCAGGAAUGACUCCAUGGAAACUCAUGUUGCUGGCAAUGAGUCUGGACAUCGGAAUGCCCAUCCCUUUCAACGUCUCAGCAUACAAUAUGUUCAAACCACUGCCACCAUCCAUCAAGACUUUGGUCAGUCGAGUGCCUUCAACCACUGGGUGGACCACCAGAGCUUGCCUCCCAGGGGUGGCAAUAUGCGUUGGGUGAUCGGACUGGUCGAACGUGAUGGCAGUCUGGGACCAUUUCAAAUAACUUGGUGUCGCCGGAGCAACCAUAUUCACCUCUCGGUUGAUGACUUUCAGUUGACUUUUGCUCUCAACAUCAGCAAAAAUAAUCAAGGUGGAAUUGACUUGCGGGUAUCCGUCGUCACUGUCCUCUUUGUCCUCGACCUUGUCUGACUCCUUUUCCUUACCUUUGGGCUUCUUGCCCUGGAACUGCCGGAUCAAGAGUCGACACUAUCGAGUGGUAUGUUUCGGGUAAAUGAAAUUACCCUCUUCAUCUUUCUUUAUGUGGACGAGACAUGGCAAGUCCAACACGUCAUUUCCAUCCUCGUCUUUAACCCUUUUGGGGUUCCAAGGCUCUUUAGGUUUCCCUUUAAACUUUCCUUGGGUUAAAGACAAGGCUUCCCCGGGAGCUACUGGCUCGGCUUUCCGCUUCUGUUUCCGAUUGGAAUUGCCUCCGGUUUCAUGGGCGAUUGACUUGAGCUUGCCACUCCUGAGUCGAUCCUCAUCUUCACCAUUAGCGUACUUGGUGGCAAUCUCCAUCAUCCGAUUCAGGGACAUAUCCCCGGUUCGACCGAAUUUCAAAUUGAGUUCUCUGUACUUGACGCCUUCCUUGAAGGCACAAACUACUUGGUGGUCAGGCACAUUCUCCACCGAGUGGUGUAACGUGAUCCACCUCUGGAUGUAAUCCCUCAAAGUUUCAUUUGGCUUCUGUACGCAAGACCGCAGUUCCGUCAGCCCUGCCGGUCGCUUGCAUGUGCUUUCAAAUGUGGUGACAAACACUCGGGAGAGAUCUUCCAAAGUGUAAAUGUUGCUAGGUGCUAACUGGUUCAGCCACGCUCUAGUCGAGCCCUCCAACAUGAGAGGCAGGUGCUUCAUGGCCACUUCAUCAUUGCCGCCGCCAAUCUAGACGACCACUCGGUAGUCCUCAAGCCAUGUAUCGGGCUUGGACUCACCAGUGAACUUACUGACUCCAGUCGCCAACCUGAAGUUGGGAGGAAUCAUAGCGGCCCUGAUGGCUCUAUUAAAGCACUCUGGACCCGAAGCAUGUACUCUGCUGCUGGUAGGUGCAUCUCUGUCGUGACCUUCUCGGUGAGCCCUGUUCCUGUCGACCAAACCCUGGACGAGAAUGGAUCUCGCAUCAAAGCCUGGCCCUCUGGGGUCGACUGGAAUCCUUCGCCCACCACUAUGAGGGCGCCUGUCAUCCUGCUGGCAAGGCACAUACGACCCGCUCCUCGGGGGAGGCGUGGGCACUCGACGUCGACCGUCAUGAUCGACUCGGUGAUCAUACUGCUCAUGGUUCCCAUACUGGUCACGCCGUCUCCACGUCCCUCACGCCUCGGGGGCGAUCUCGGGCUGUGAGCCAACUGGACUGUGUCCGCGGCAACGGAUUUGCUGUGAAUCCUGUUCCCUGACUGAGAAACAACGGAAUUAUGAUCUCUUGCUGCUCGGAGUAACGCUCUGAUCUGCAGCAAGCCUCUGCCAACCUCCGACUGGGAAGGCUGAAUCGACUCCGCUAUACGGGCCGCAACUGCUAAAUUCUGAAUCAGAGUUUGAUAUACCUGCGGGGGCGGGAAGAGCUGACGCCGACUGGAUUCGGGAACCCGUUGUCGUGCACGCUCGUCGAGUGCUCGCUGGAGGUUCUCCAGUCGAGUGCGCUCGGCCAAGUUUGCCAGGCGCGCGUCCUCCAAGGCGCGAGCCUCGGGGAUUUCUCCAACGAUAGGAGUGUGCAGUGCAUCCACGUUCCGGCGGCGAAGUUCUUCUCUGUGCAGCGACGUGAGAGGCUUGAGAAGAUACUCCUCAUGGAGACGUGACGGGUCGCCUCCACCCGCGCCUCCGUCGGUGCGGGGAAACCCGGGAGGACUGGGCGGUCCAUCGACCAUCAGAACCUCCGCCGCCGGAUCGCUGUUGUCGCACUCGGAUGCGGUCUUUGCGGAGCCAGCCGACAGGUUGAACAGGCCGUAGAGGGAUUCGUCGGGCUCGAUCGCCGUGACUUGGGGGGUGGCCGACUGAUGUGCCACCGCAUGCCUCACCCACCGCUGACGUACGCCGGCUGGAAACGGGGAGGGAGGAUAACACAGGAGCCGACUGGUAGGGGGUCGACGGUUGCCGCAGGAGAACGCCGCGGACGCACGCGCUAAAGUGCCUUGCCCCGCGAGCAGGGAGUGCGUCUACGUCGAGAGGAGCCUCCUGGAGCCAAGCAGAGUCAUCGACGAUGAACGUGAGCACGCCAAGACGGAUCGCGCGGCCCUCCACCAAACCUCCGCCGAAAACCAUGAUGAUUCGGGUCGGAAAAGGUCGCAACUCCUCCAACAAACGCUAAAACACCGGUCCCACGGUGGGCGCCAACUGUCGUGGUUCUAAGUCUGACAGUAGUGUAGGGGGGUAAGUAUGGAGAGGCAAGAUCUUAGCUAUGGAGAAGUUGUAAGCACGCAAGGUUUACGAGUUCAGGCCCUUCUCGGAGGAAGUAAUAGCCCUACGUCUCGGAGCCCGGAGGCGAUCGACUGGAUUAUGUGAGUAUGAGUUACAAAGGUGCGAACCCUUGUCUCAGAGGAGGGGCGGCUUAUAUAGAGUGCGCCAGGACCCCGGCCAGCCCACGGUACAAAGGGUUCAAUGUACAUUAAGGCGGGGCGUUACUGGUAACGCUAGUAAUAAAGUGCUAUGAUGACCAUAAAAGCUACUUAAUGACCGACCGUUAGGGUGCGGGGUGACUUUAGGUCUCUUGGCCGUCGAGUGGUUGGAUCUUAGUCGAGUGAUUGCUUCUUGGUCGAGUGUCUUUGAGUCUGUCGAGUGGAACACCUCCAAGUCGAUUGAAAGGUGAUUUCUUCUAGAGAUGUCGUUGGGUAAGGCAGUUAGGACAUGUCCAUGACCCUACCCUAGGUACAUAGCUUCAUCAGCGUCUGCGGGUGUGGGCGGUGGCCGAUCCCCGCUCGAUCUCUCCCCCAACCCCUCGCGUCUCCGCCCGGUCGGGUCCCCUGCCUCUGGUGGCCGCGGCUCCACCGUGAGCGGCUCGGUGAAGCCGAUGAAGAAGUUGGCGGUUCGCAAGGUCACCGCGGAGGCAGUGCGCGAUGGAAUCUCUGGGGGCGCCCCCACUCCACGACAGUUUGUCAUGGCGUUGGCGGCCCCGACUGUGCCACCCUCCGCUGACCCACUGCUGCAAGAGGCCGCCAAGACGGUGAUGAUCUCAAAGGCCAAGCGCACCAAGACAGUGCCGGCGGCGCUGGUGAGCACUAGCUCGUGGUCCAAGGGAGCCAAGGGAAACAUGUCGUCGCUGUAGCGGGCGCAACUCCUUCAAGCGCAGAAGAAUAUGGAGAUCUCAGGUAAUCCACCGCUCCGCUUCACGGUUGUUGAUUCCUUUUCGGAUGAUCAUUCGCAUGAGGUGUUGGACGCGAGUGGAGUUGACCCUUCGUGUGUGUGUGGGGGGAGUCAGAGAGCUGAUUUUGCUCGUUCACGCCAAGGCGUCGGCGCUGGCAGCGCUCGCGGCUUCUGCGGCAGCGCUUGCUGAACAGAGGUCCGGUGAACCCGGGAGAGGGGUCACCGCUGCUCUAUCUAUGCCCGAAGAGGGGGGUCGGGCAACAGGGGCUGCCCCCUCUCCCUCGCCUUUGUAGGGGCAAGGUGAGACGCGUGGCAAAGGCGGUCACCUCGAGGGGUGUCCGGCUACGUAACCGCGUCAUCUAUGUGUGAUCCCUGUUCUGGAAUAUUCGUGGUUUCUGCCACCCGGGGCGACUUAACCAACUUAAGGAAUAUGUGCGCAGAGAGGACGUCGAUAUCGUAGGAUUACAGGAAACAAUCAAUGAGGACUUUCGUUUUCAUGAGUUGCUCUCUCUAGACCCGUUAGAACGGUUCGAGUGGCAGCAUGUUCCUGCAGUUGGGCAUUCGGGUGGAAUGCUGUUGGGCUUAAGUCGCAACUUGUAUGAGAUUAUCGACUAGGAUAUUGGUUCGUUUUUCAUUGCCGCACACUUUCGCAUUCGGGCUUCGCUUCGCGAGUUAGUAGACAUACAGGUCUACGGACCGGUGGACCAAUCGCGAUUGGUGGAGUUCUUGGGAGAACUCCAAGACAAAGUCACCACGGUGACCGCGGCGGCGCUCCCUGUCCUGGUGGGAGGGGAUUUCAACCUGAUCAGGUCGGGAGCGGAUAAGAAUAAUAGUAACAUAAACUGGCCUCAGGUGGCAUGUUUAAUACUGCUAUUGCGUCUAUGGCCCUAAGGGAGGUGGCCAGGUCGGACGCAAGGUUCACAUGGACAAACAAACAACUAGACCCGGUCCGUUUGGUGCUGGAUCGAGUGUUCAUGUCACCUGAGUGGGAAAUGGGCUUCCCCCUUUGUACUUUGGUUGCAGAGAAUCACAUUGGUUUUGACCAUGUACCGCUUGUUUACUCCUCGGGGGAGGAUAGGGUGCGGCGCAACCCACGCUUUUUCUUCGAAACGGCCUGGUUCAAAGUGCCAGGCUUUGAGGAGCUCUUUAGGGAGAAAUGGUGGGCAUGCGUUAAUCAAAUUGGGCCCUAGAGGGGCCCGAUGGACUUCUGGAACGCUGUCGGGGGACGACUCAGGGCUAGCCUCAAGGGAUGGGGUGCUAACCUAGGGAGGAAUGAUAAAGAGCACAGAGUCGCGAUCCUAGCGGAAAUCGCAUGGAUUGACGUGCAUGCCGAUGCCCGAUUCUUUUUGGAGCGGGAAUUGGCCCACCGGUAUGACCUAGAGGGGAAGAUCGAGGCGUUCGUACGCGCGGAGGAAGAAUACUGGCGUCGCCGUAGUGGCCAGAAAUGGACACUUAAAGGCGACGCCAAUACCAAGUAUUUCCACGCCUACGCUAAAGGCCGACGUGGGAAGUGCGCAAUUCUUAGCACUACUAGGAAAAGGCUAAUUAGUGGCGCACCUAUUUUUGCCAUUAAUGGCGCACUAUAGGUGCGCCACUAUUACCACACCAGUAGUAACAAAUAGUAAUGGCGCACUAUAUGUGCGCCAUUACUAUCACAGACGCAGCAACUAUAGGUGCACUAUAGGUGCGCCACCUAUAGUGCGCCAUUACUAUGCGUAGCAGUGCGCCAUUACUAUCUGACUUAGUAAUGUCGCACCACAUAGAAGUGCGCCAUUACUAACAAUUUUUUUUCAAUUUUUUUGUUAUUUUCUUAAUCUCGGGUCAUUAUGGCUUAAUCUCGGGUCAAAUCGCACUCCGCGGUCAAACUUCCUGAAAGGUCACCCAUCCUCACACUACUCCAGCCUGAGCACGCUUAGCUUCGCAGUUCUAUCCAACCCCAGCACCAACUCACUUAACAGACACUUGUUGAUAUAUCUAUCAUAUCAAUCCUAUUAAACCUUGUUGAUGUCUAGGACUUUGUUCAUGUUCAUGAGUGUGAUGAAAUUUUGAAAAAAUAUUUCAAACUUCCUGGUCAUAUUACGUAUCAUAUUUUGCAAAAAAAUCCAAAAAAAAUUUGAAACCAAUUUUUUUUCUGUUACUAGUGGUGCACCUAGCAAAUGGUGCGCCACUAGUAAGUUUGAAUUCUUUUUCCAUUUCCCCCCUCUAGAUCUUAAAAGCCCUGUAUCUUUCAUUCUAUUAGGUUUUUGGGGAUUCUGAAAAUCUUGAACAAAGUUUCCCCUGUUCAAUUCGGAUGUAACUUUUCGAGUAGAUGAUUUUUCAUAUAAAAAACUUUUUAAUCCGAGUUCGUAUGCAAAAGUCAUGCCCAUUUUACUAAAUUCUAGAGAGAUUUUGCAAAUAAAGUCGAAAUUCAUAUUUGUAAAUUUUCCCAACAACUAGACCACAUAUCACAUGGGAAACUUAUUUUCUUUUUUUUUUGACAUUUNNNNNNNNNNNNNNNNNNNNNNNNNNNNNNNNNNNNNNNNNNNNNNNNNNNNNNNNNNNNNNNNNNNNNNNNNNNNNNNNNNNNNNNNNNNNNNNNNNNNNNNNNNNNNNNNNNNNNNNNNNNNNNNNNNNNNNNNNNNNNNNNNNNNNNNNNNNNNNNNNNNNNNNNNNNNNNNNNNNNNNNNNNNNNNNNNNNNNNNNNNNNNNNNNNNNNNNNNNNNNNNNNNNNNNNNNNNNNNNNNNNNNNNNNNNNNNNNNNNNNNNNNNNNNNNNNNNACGUGGUGCCCAUUACUAGUUUUUGCAAAAAAAUAAAAAAAUUAAUUGUCAGUAGUGGUGCACCGUGGUUGUGGUGCGCCAUUACUAGUUUGAACUAAUAAUGGCACCCUAUACACUGGUGCGCCAUUACUAGUUUUGAAAAAAAAAAUAAAAAAAAUUGUUAGUAGUGGCGCAGAGAGUGUGUGGUGCGCCAUUACUAGUUAAAAAACUAGUAAUGGCGCACUAUGCCCUGGUGCGCCAUUACUAGUUUUCGAAAAAAAAUAAAAUUUGUUAGUAGUGGCGCACCGUGGGUGUGGUGCGCCAUUAGUGAUAUGGACAUUAAUGGCGUACCUACAUAUGGUGCGCCAUUAAUGUCCAUAUUAGCUAUAGCCCUUUUCCUAGUAGUGUAGGUUGCAAUCGGAACAUGGGCUUCUGUUGUGACAAGAGGACAUCUCUCGCCACAUUUAUGAGUUUUACAUCAACUUGAUGGGGACGUGCGAGGCCUAGAGGGCUGGUUUGCGCGAGGACGUGUGGGAUGCAUCACAACGGGUUUUGGAGUGUCAGAACGACGAGCUGGGGCUCGCGUUCCUCCCCGAAGAAAUUGAUGCUGAUCUGAUGGGUAUGAAAGUGGACACGGCACCGGGCCCGGAUGGGUGGCUGGUUGCUAUGUUUAAGCGUUUCUGGCCUCUUCUUAGAGACCCAAUUUUUGAGAUCUGCAAUGGGUUCAUGCGUGGGAUGGUAGAUAUAGCGCGCCUUAAUUUUGGAGUUUUAUCGCUCAUUUCGAAGGUCCAAGGGGACGACAACAUUAGACAGUUCCAUCCUAUUGCGCCAUUAACAUGCCAUUUAAGAUUUGAGCGAAAGCGUGUGCUACACGGCUAGGACCAAUCGCUCACCGUUCGAUUCACCAUAACCAGAUGUGCAUUUAAUGAAGGCAAUGAGGUGUAUCGAGUUUGUGCCAGUACUACAAGUCCCAGAACACAGACCUCGUCUUCCAUACCUUCAGCAGCGGCUCCGACGCCUUUUUCAUCGCCUUUCCCGGCGCGGGGAACUCCUUCCAGUUUUUCAACAACUCAUCGAUUUCGGCACCGCUCCGCUUACGUGGAGGUCCUCGAUGCUCAGCGUGACCAUUUUAUAGAUCUCCACGGGUCGUCCUGUUCGAGCCAUCUUCGAUGCCCAUGUACACGAUUUUCCCAGACCCGCCAUCUUUCCUUGACGUUAGCUGCUGAGACGUCGUAUCAUCCAUGCACCGCGUGCAUCCGCAAUAUCCAUGGCACACCUGGCCCGCGACAUAUCCGUAACCGAGAUAGUCGUGCACCAUCGUGAUCAGCGUGGCUCCCAUGUAGAAAUACUCGCCUUUGCUGGCGUCCCAUGUCUUGGCUGGUGUUUUCCAUAAAGUGUCUAACUUCUCUUGAAGUAGCCCAGAUACAAAUUAAUAUUAUUUCCUGGUUGUUUCGGCCCUUGAAUAAGCAUGCUCAUGUGAAUGUACUUCGACUUCAUGCACAACCAGGAGGGAGGUUGUACAUCCAUACAAACACGGGCCAUGUGCUAUGGUUGGUGUUCUGGUUGCCAAACGGAUUCAUGCCAUCGGUACACGCGCCGAGCACGAUGAUCCUUGCAUCACAUUCGAAAUACCGAUAGAAGCUGUUGAACGCUCUCCACUGGCUUCCAUGCUUGAUGUGUCUCAACUUUGGAUCAUCUCCAGCGUCGGGCUUCUUCCUAUCCGCGUGCCAGCGCAUUAGCUUUGCUUCCUUGGGAUCUACGAAAUACCGCUGGAGACGGGGAGUGAUCAGUAAGUACCAUACAACUUUCUGGGGACAUUUCUUCCCGGCCUUCUUGUAUCGAGAAGCAUUGCACACUGGACAGCUUGUUUUUUCCGCGUGCUCCAUCCAAUAAAUAUGCAAUAGUUUAUGCAUGCAUGGUAUCUAACAUGCGGCAGAUCAAGAGGGCACAUGAUCUUCUUGGCCUCAUCAACACUAGUAGGACAUAGAUUCCCCGCGGGAAGAACAUCCUUUAGGUACAUGAGAUGCUCAUCGAGGCUAGUGUCGGUCCAUUUGUUUUUAGCCUUCCGUCUUCAGGAGUUGGAGCGUGAAACUCAAGCGAGUCACCUCAGAAUUGCAACCAUCAUACAAUGGAGUGUUCGAGUCUACCAGCAGUUGCUCCAGCUUAGCCUCCUCUCUAGAAGCAGCUCUCUCAGUACUCGUGUCCUUGCGAAGCAGUGCUUGAACAUGAGGGUCCCGCACGAUUGAACUUAGUACCGACAAACUCUGCUGCGUGGAGUCCACGUUCUCUCCGCCGCCAUGUCCGGCCCCUUCUCCGCCGCCAUGUCCGCCUCUUCCCCGCCACCAUUAUCGAUCAUCUCUUCGUCUUGCCCCAUGUCGUCAUCGCCUUCCCCGUCGGCGUCCUCAACAUCGUCAUCCUCAUCUUCAAUUAUCCACCGAGUAUAGCCAUCCAUGAAACCUGUCAUGAAAAGGUACGCUUCGACACGACCAUCGUCAUAGGGGUCGAGCCGAACUAUUCCUUCGCAUUUUCGACACGGACAGAAAACCUCUGUCCGGUUAUUUUCUUUCAUGUCCCGCACCGCCGACCGCAACCACCUGUCCACCAUCGUUCCACUGACCAUCAUGAACGUCUGCACGGUAAUAAUAAACAAAUUGAUUAUAAAAAUGCGUGCAUGCAUCAAAGUCAUACAAAAAUUCGGCAUGACCAUCCCUAAAAAUAGGACAAAUAUAGAUCUAGAGUUUGCCUGGAAUUCGCCGAAACGGAAAUAAAUCGACAUUUCGGCAAAACAUAGGCACCUCAAAAGAACAAUUUGGCGUCAACACAUGCCAGACACACAAUUUCCAUCAUAUUGCCCAAUUAUCAUAUCACACACACAUACACAUGUUUCCAUUUUGCAAAAGCAUGAAAUUUUAAUCACCUCUAUCUCGAGAUCGAGCACACGGUGGAGAUGAUGAUGUAGGGAGAUCAAAAGUGCACAAAGCUCUUCUUGACAAAGAUAGAUCUAGUUAGGGGGCAAAUAGGUCACUUAACUAAAUGCNNNNNNNNNNNNNNNNNNNNNNNNNNNNNNNNNNNNNNNNNNNNNNNNNNNNNNNNNNNNNNNNNNNNNNNNNNNNNNNNNNNNNNNNNNNNNNNNNNNNNNNNNNNNNNNNNNNNNNNNNNNNNNNNNNNNNNNNNNNNNNNNNNNNNNNNNNNNNNNNNNNNNNNNUAAUGGGGGGAGAAGUAUUGAGGAAGAAGAAGAGUGAGAGAGGGAGGAUGUGGGAGGUAGGGGAAAGGGAGGAGAGGAGAUGGGGGAGGGGAGGUAGGGGAAAAAGGUGGUGGGGUUGUGUCUUAGCAGUAGUGGGGGAGGAAAAACGCGCUACUGCUAAGAGCAUAGCAGCAGCACUCUUUCCUCACACGCGCUACUAAAAAGCACGCUAAACGGGCCAAUCGUGUGGACAAUUUCCAAAUUAGCAGCAGCGACGUGACUAAAAAGCGCGCUACUACUAUUUUAUUAGCAGUAGCGCGCUUCGUGACACCGCGCUGCUGGAAAAUUUAGGUUGGUGUGUAGUGUCGGCCAAUUUUUGCAGGAGCAAGGUUUAAAGGUCACGCGCUACUACUAAAUUUACAUCAGUAGCGCGGUUUUCCUAAGCUAGCUACUGCUAAUUAGCAGUAGCGCCUCUUUUUGUGCCGCGCUGCUGCUAAGAUUCUGUGUAUAAGGUUUUCCCUAGUAGUGAUCUGUUUUGUGUCAACUUAAGAGUGUGCUGAAGCUAGAUUAUUCCAAAGCUUGAAUUUUAGGCGUAGGUGAAGUGUCGUGUUGAUCACCCUCUUUCAGCACCCACUACUAGGGAAAAUCCUAUACAUAGAAUCGUACCAACAUCGCGCUUUAAAACAAGGCGCUACUGCUACGUACUAGGAGCGCGUGCCGACGAAACGCGCUGCUAACAUAGAUGUAGGAGUACUGCGCCUAUGAUAAGCCGCACUACUGCUAUAUUUGCCACGACCCCGCCGCGAAGCUAGUUAUAGGAGCAGCACCUUAUUACAAAGAGUGGUACUGCUACAGAUCAUAGCAGUAGCGCAUGCUCACUAUAACUGCUACUGCUAAGUUUACUACAAAAUUUAGUCCCACCUUGCUCCACGAACAGUGUUUUUACCAUCUUAAAUAUGUUAGUUCUCAAACUAUCACUACCACUUGGUUUUCAUUGAACUCUAUGUGUAGAAUUUUUGGCUGCAAUAUGAGUCUUCUCCGGUUUCUAAAAACAGAUGAGGUCUCAUAUUGAUAAUUCAGAUUGUACACAAAAAGAUCAUUGAUGAUUAAUGUAUUUUUUAUGUAUAUUUUUACAUGUUUACACAUAACAGUAGCGCGUUUUGCCUAUAAGGCACUACUGCUAGGUCUUUUAGCAGUAGCGCAUUUCUCUAUAGCAUGCUACUGCUAAGCCAUUCUAUCUUCCCCAGCCUACCACCUAUCACUCUCGUCUCUCCACUCACACUCACUCGAUCUCCCCCCUCAAUCCCCCCGCGCCAGUCCCCCCCGCCAGCCGCCGUCGCCUACCCCUUCUCCCUCUGCGCCGCCGUCACCUCCCUCUUCUCCCUGGACCCGGUAAACCUACGUCGGCCGCCCUCCUCCCCACCCCCUCCUCCUCCGUCCUCCCUCCACUCCUCCGUUCGCAGCCGGCCGGCCCCUCCUCGCNNNNNNNNNNNNNNNNNNNNNNNNNNNNNNNNNNNNNNNNNNNNNNNNNNNNNNNNNNNNNNNNNNNNNNNNNNNNNNNNNNNNNNNNNNNNNNNNNNNNNNNNNNNNNNNNNNNNNNNNNNNNNNNNNNNNNNNNNNNNNNNNNNNNNNNNNNNNNNNNNNNNNNNNNNNNNNNNNNNNNNNNNNNNNNNNNNNNNNNNNNNNNNNNNNNNNNNNNNNNNNNNNNNNNNNNNNNNNNNNNNNNNNNNNNNNNNNNNNNNNNNNNNNNNNNNNNNNNNNCUCCUCGCUCCGCCUUCCUCCUCCGUCCUCCUUCCUCCUCCAGUCGCCCCUCCUUCUCCCUCCUCCCUCCUCCAUCCACAACCCCUCCUCCUUGCUACAUCUUGAUUUAGUAGGCUAGUUCAUUGCAACACUUUGAUUUAGUUGAUAUGAUUUACUUGAUUUAGUAGGCUAGUUGAUUUAGAACAUUUUGAUUUAGUAGGAUAGUUGAUUUAGUUAAUUUAGUAGGCUAGUUGAUUUAAUUCAUUUAGAACAUUCUGAUUUAGCUGAUUUAGUAGGCUAGUUGAUAUGCAACAUUUAGAGAGACAGAGAGACAGAGAGACAAAGAGAGAGAGAGAGAUAUGAUAGUUGAUAGUUUUUUGUUGAUAUGAUUGACCGAUUAGUAAAAAUUUAGACAUAGUUGAUAGGUUUUAGUUGAUAUAAGCCUCUGGCCAUAUAUAAUAAUUCGAUAUAGGAUAUUUUCUAGGGUUUAGAAUAGUUGAUUCUAGUUUGCUACGUUGGUUUGCAUGUUGAGCUUGAUGAUCAUCCCAUGCUAAGUUAUUGUUUUCUUUGCUCAUAUUGCUUUAGGAAAAUGGCGCGACCACCACCACCACCAUGUCGACUGUGCAAGUCAUGGUGUGGCAGCAGCCUUGCAACUGGCAACCUAUUCGGCAUCUUCUUCCAGCCGAGUUUUUGUCAUGCGGCGGUAAGAAAUUAUAUGAAAUGUAACAAGUAUUUUGAUUUUAGUGUUGGCAUUAAUGCAUUGUGUCAUUUUUAUUUUUGUACACAUAUCGUCUCAUGCAAUGUGAGGUUGAAAUUCAACAAGCUGACAGGAGACACUGUGACCUUUGAGGCACCUAGGGGGCCCUACACUAUGGAGGUCGAGAAAGGACGUAAUAUGUCGCAAAUUGGAGGAGAUGGAUGGUCCCAUUUCCUCGCCCACAUGUGUCUUACUGGUGGUGAGUUGGUGAACUUCCCAUGUUUUUAGUUAAGCUCUGCGUGUCCACGGCCAUCGAUCAAUGGUAGCAGUUUGUCAUUGCUUGAUUUCUGCGACCACAGAAAUUUCACACUGCACGCUGAUUACCGCAAUACAUGGAACUGAGUUGAUGCUCAGUAUACAGUUGACAACCGAACCACUAGUCAUGGAUAAUUUGUUUAUGUAGUUAAUUGCUCUUUGUGAUGAAUUUGAUGUAGUGUUGUUUUGCAUUCUAUAUGGUUGCUCUCUUGGAAAUGUGUGGUCCAUGGUAUUCAUCUACCCUAAACAUUUCUCGCUUUUAAAUUUUGUCUGUUUUGGGUUGUGUCAUAUAGGGAGACCUGAGAUGGCGCUUUCUUUCAAUAUGGCAGGACCUUCUAAAGGGAGGAAAACCACCCUGGAUGUCACAGCCUUUGGGAGGGAAGCCCUACACAUCUCGGUUCAAGUGAGUCAUUGAUCCCCAACCCCCGCCCCUCUAUCUCUCCCUCUCUCUCUUGCUGUGAGAUGUUCUGGCCAUCAAGCCAUUGAUUUAGUGUUUGGAUCGGUUAUUUAAUUGCAUGUCUGGUACACUACUAGGAAAAAGGCUACUAGCAGCGCGGGUACCCGCGCUACUAGUAUCGUACUACAGCUAAUAGUUAGUAGUAGCGUGGGUGCACCCGCGCUACUACUAAAAAGUUGGUAGUAGCGCUGGUGCACACCAACGCUACUACUAUUUGCUACUAUCAAAAUAGUAGUAGCGCUUCUAGUAUACUAGGCGCUACUACUAUGCUAGAUGGUAGUGGCGUGUAGUUUUGCCCAGCGCUACUACUAACAAAUGAUAAAUUUAAAAAAAUAAAAAUUACGUGCAUUAUUCAUAGAUAGAAAUCAGGGACACGUCCAGUGCAAAAUAAAUUAAACACACACAACCGAAGGUGGCUACCUUCCCUAGUGUUCCACCACUAGCCUAAACAGACCACUUCUCUACAUUUAUCUACCAAGGCUCGGAGUUCAGACGCCGGAGGACCCGAAUCCUCCCUCACCCCGAAAGAUGGCGUCGAGGUCCUCCACCUCUCCGACAUCCGGCAUCGUGAUCACAUGGACGAUCAUCCGGGCGGUGCGGUCGCUGGGCUUCACGUCGAAGUCCACCUCUAAGUGGUUGAAGAGCAUGACGCCCACCAGGUUGUCGUAGUCAGCCACGUCGGGAAAGUGAAAACUUGUUAGUACGCAUCAGAGUUCAAAUUCGGUAGGGUAUUUUCUUUCUUUUUAGCACAUGCACAUGCAUCAAUAGUAACAGCCGGAGGCUAGUCCUUACUUUUUGCAUGAGACAUGAAGAAGGCCAGGUCCCCUCUUCGUUGCACGAAUGAAUCAAAGGAAGACACUGCCACAAGACAUGAAGAAGGCCGGGUCCCCUCCUUUUGUAAAUAGCUCAAGUGCCUGAAGUUGCAAGGAAUCUUAAUACAAUGAACUUAUAGUAAUGCAUAAUAACAAGAAAAAGGAAAAAAAAUCAUGAAUCCUAAAGAAAAAGAUCAUUAUGUGAGUCAAGAUAAUGUGGGCAACAGUAUUCAUUAAUAAGAAAAAUGGGAUGAGAUUUCUGAAGUGACAUUUGUUUCACCAACAAUGAUUAAUGACGAGGCAUGUAAGAUUUACCUGCGCAACAUCAGCAUACCCUCUGGUCCUUGCAAGAACUUGAAGACCAAGGUUCUAGCUUUCUCCCCACUGACUAGCACAAGUGCAGCGGCACCGUCGCUGUACAUUAACCCAAGAUCUGCUUUUCAUAGGAACAGUAAAAGCUGUACUUAACCCAAGAUCUGCAUUUUUCACAUCAUCUUCUCCUUGUCAACCAAUAGAUUUUGGGGCUUUAAAUCCCUAUGAUAUCAAAGAGGAACAAUCGUAAAUCACAUUAGCAACAAUUGCAAUAUGUUGUAUGGGCCGAUAAAUACAGCAACAUAAAUCAGAAAACAAAGGUCUAACCGAUGAAGGACACCAUGGCCAUGGCAGUGUGCAAUUCCUUUGCAUAACUGAUACAAAAAUCUCUACAAGAAUGUAAAGAAAGUUUUCUAUUAGCCCGAAACAGACCUAUCAAAAUUAAACUGGACUCUGGCAUCUGCUAUCCAAUGAAAAUUAACGAUAGCAUCCUCAAAAUAAAGGCAUGAAGAUGAAUUGAUUCCAAAGAUAACAACAAAUUAAUCUGUACUUGAGUGUAUGCAAAACAGAGAACACAGCAGCAGUCAACAUUGAGUUUCAACCAUUAUACUAGCACUACUUAGUUCCUAAUUUAGUAUCCUGCAACUAGGCUAGAGUAGUAGAGUUUGCAUAUUUUUUGACGAAUUCAAACUAGCUACAAAUUUACAAUGUAGUUCGCUCUGAUUGCAUAUCAAUGUUUUGCACGUUUCCGAUGCAAAACUCAGAGUUCAGAAUGGGCAUAUAUGAGGAAGUGCCAAGUCCUCAAAUCGAUGGAUAGGAGACUCAGCCGAUGUAGCAUCGGCAGAAAGCCAAGUGAGCAGGGCAAGGGCAAAUCAGCCUCAAAACUAAUUAAAAUCGCUACCUUGAUGACCUGAGUUGGGAGCGGCUUAGGGGCAGCUUAAUUUCAGUCGCCACAACCAAAUUUUCAAAAAAUUUCCACCCUUUUCUUCUACUCCCUCUGUAAACUAAUAUAAGAGUGUUUAGAUCACUAAAGUAGUGAUCUAAACGCUCUUACAUUAGUUUACGGAGGGAGUACAUCAUAGCGCAGAAAUCUACUGAUGUGUAUGCGCAUGCUUGACAAUUUUUGAAUAAACUAAGCACAAGCUACAAUCUCCUAGUAUAAUCAGUACACCCACGCGAGAUCCAAAGCUAUGAACAGAGGACAGCCACAUCUAGAACAUGACAGAUCACUCAGGAAACUCCCUAGAAUUCCGCGCAAUUUGUGCAACCGUGGACAGAGUACACGCCCAGAGGGCGGGCAGCGGGGUAGAUCUCGACUCAGCUUACCCGGUCGAGCUCCCGGAGGAGGGAGAGGCCGGCGACGGAGAAGUAGGCGAGGGUGAGGUGGUUGACCUCCUGCGUGGCAUAGCCGUCGGGGAGCUCGGACGACAUGACCUCUAGGAACGCCGCGUGGCGCGCGUGCGAACCCGGCCGGCUCCUCCUCCUGGUCCCCCAUCUCCGGCGGUCGUCGGUCGUGGAAAGUGAAGGCCUCUCUCUCUCCUCGUCGCCGCCGAUUGGUCUGACCGGUGCAGGGGAACGAAUCCUGCCGCGCUUGGGACUUUGGGAGGGGGCUGAGAUGAGCUGACGGUCCCUCGGGGCCGCCGCGCUGCCCCACCUCCAUGCCGCGGCGGGGAGCAGCCCGGGCUGGCCGUCGCGAUGGGCCUUGUCGGCUGGGCGGUGGAGGAUCCCGGCAUGGAUCGGAAAAAGGGAGAGAUCCCGUCGGCAGAGGAGAUGAGAGGAGGUGGAGGGGAUGUGAAUCAGGGGUGGGUGGGGUGCGGGAGUGGGUGGACUGGGACUGAAAGGCUAGCGUAGCGCAGGGUAUCUCACCGGUGCUACAGAUAUCCACUUAGCAAUAGCGAUUGUUUAAAACCCACGCUACUACUAUGGUAUGUCGGCAGGGCACGGUCGAAAAUAUUUACUAAUAGCGUGUUAUUUUUUGCCACACGCUACUAGUAAAUAGUAUUAGUAGCGCGGGUCAUUAUAGCGCGUUACUAGUAAAUAGUAGUAGCGUGGGUAAAUAAAGAGCGCUACUAGUAAGCGUCUGUGUAUAAGCUUUUCCCUAGUAGCGGUAGUUUCAAACACAAUGUUGUAUGCCCUUUGUAAUUUCUGGUUUCCUAACUAAGCAGUCCAAGCAUGUAUCUCUAAUUUGUGAUGGAUGUGACAUCCACUUUCUAGUAAUUUUGUGAUGCUGACCAAACGAACUACACUACUAAUACUAGUUGAACAAGAAGGUCGGUUCGAUGCUGUUUGCUUGUACGAAUGAGUCCAAGCAGUUUGUGUUAAUUUGUUUGAAGUUGGCUGGUUGCACCUUUAUCCCAUUACAGGGUUUGAAAUGGCUCCUCCACCUUUCUUGGGCUAAUAAAGUGCAGGAUUCUCCCAUUACCUGGCUAUAUUCGUGUUAGCUGACAAUAUAUACUCCCUCCAUCCCAAAAUAAGUGUCUCAACAUUAGUGACACUGCCAAGCGCGAACACUUUGGUGUCUGUGACCAUACGCUAGCUAAAUGGCCGAUCAUCUUUGGUUCCCUCUCUCCUUUUGGUUUUUAGCAUAGCAUGCCGUUGUUUUUGUUGUCCCCCUGGUAGUAUAAGCCAACACUUGGGGUGUGAGAUUGUCUAGUGCCUUUUUAGAUUAGUCACCAUAAAACAUUUUGUUUGUGAAGUUGAUUGUGACAGAACUUCGAUUACGUGAGGGUCUGUCGUUACUUAAGCCCAGCUUAUGUACAAGGGUGUCUUUUCGUUUUGGGUUCUGAGCAUAGCAUGUUUUUGUUUUUGUCAUCUCGUUAUAAUAGUACCAGCCAACAGUUUUGUGUGAGAUUGAGUUUCUAGCUUCUUUUUUUAUAACUGGCUAUAGAACAUUUAGUUUGUGAAUCCCUUUCGGGGGUUCCUUAGGGACCGAUUCCCUCUGCACAGAUUGACUGAGCAUGUCUGGUCAUUGUUUCUUUAACUUGUUGCAUGUGUAUUUGAAGCUCUGACUUAGAAGUUUUGUUCCUAUGGUCGUCAGGUUAUGUGCCAUGGAAUGGACGGAAGAUGGUGAGCGACCACUAAUGGAUGUGGUCGAAUGCACCUUGCCAGUCUCGAGAGUCCUUGGAAGUGGACGGUGGCCCUAUUGGUUGAAGGCAGGGGAAAAUUGCUCGACGUAUUUCAGCAAUCAACAGGGCACUUUUAGGCUUGUUUUCCAUUGGAUGGACUGAGAGGGGUCUGUAGAGAGAUCCCAAUCUUAUGGUCUAAGUGUCUGUGCUAAAUGGUGAUACAUUCUGAGAUACAAGAAGACCCUGCCGAUCUAAUCUUGAAGACUACUGAUUGGCAUUAUUGUGUUUAUUUUCACUUUUCUCUCUUGUAGGCUGAGGUGUCUCAGAACUUUGUAAAAUUGAUGGGAUGGUGAUAUAUGUUGGCCUUGUCCCAGGGAUUGUAUUGUGUGGCAUGGAGGGAGUUAUUAUUGUAUUUUCGGUUAGUGUCAAGAGAUUGGAAUGAAUGUGUGCGGCUCAAAUUGUAGUAAUUCUUCAUGAAUGAUUCAUUCAAUAGUUAUACGUACAAUAAUAACUUGUGCAUGAAAACAUAUCUAGUAUGUUGUUGUGGAAAGCAAUUGCUUUCUUGCUUUCAAAUUUUCCAUUAGAAAAAUAAAUUGGAGUGGUUGUGCUUGUGUAUGCAUCAACAUGUGAGCAAGCAUAGUAUUGCUUGGCUGGUAGUUAUUGUUGUCCCCGACAAUCAUGUCGAAACUGGAGGGUUGGAUUUGGAUUCUUCUCUCUUUUGGUGCGUAUUACUACUUGCAACAAGAUUAUGUGACAAGGAAGUAGAAGAUAAUUGAUUAGUGGUGCAUUUUAAUCAUGUGAUGAUUACUAGUUUUGAUUGAUGCUUGAUGAUGGUUCAACUUGAUCAUGUUCUAAUAUUGAUGAUGAUCACUAGGUUGUUCUGAUCAUUCUUAUUUCGAGCAGACAGUGUUGAAUCGAAUAUGUGUAAUGUUAUAUGCUACCAUAUCUGUCACAAGUAACAAAACAUCUUAUAAUUAGGAACCGAGGAAUGCAAAAGAGCAACCUGUUUUCUCUUCUUAGUUAUCUUCUCUAAUCUAGGUACUAUUCCUAAUAAUAUGUAAAAUCUACUAGGGAAGAUCAGUUUUUGUUUUGGGAAUCAGACAAUUCAAAUUUGUUAGGAGGAGAGAGAAAGGAGAGAUCUCUGCAAGUUUGUUAGGAGGAGAGAGAAAGGAGAUAUCUAUGCAAGUUUGUUAGCAGGAGAGAAAGGAGUGAUCUCGACAAGUUUGUUAUGAGGAGAGACAAACUAGAGAUCUGAGUGACGUGAUCCUUGGAUUCACAUUACAUAUGAAAAAAAAUUGGAAACAGCCAACCGAUUUGCAUCCUUGGAUUCACAUUAUAUAUGAAAAAAGAUGGAAACUGCCAACCGUUUUGCAGUUAACCCUCUCGCUUAUCCCUCCUCCUUGGAAUCAGGCAAUCCCCAUUUAAUUGCUACCGUUAAAUAUAUCGCCCCUCCUCCUCCCUUUGUUCAUUUGUUCCAUCCAUUGGUUGGCAUCCAUCAAAGGUCUGUCAUACCUUACGCCACCUCACCGAUCCGCGGCCUCCUGGUUCUUCUAAGGCCAUCACUAUAUGUACUAGAAACAGUGAUACAUCUGUGUGCGGGGUGCGCGUGCGACUUAGGACUUGGGACCUUGGGCGACGGCGGUGGCGACGGGCGUGAGGAACUUGGACGCAGACAAAGCAUCACAAGCCUAUUAAGCUGGCAACGGGCAGCAGAAGCCCGACAUUGACGACACAGAUGAGGAGCCCUGCCGCUAGGGACGCGCGGAUGAAAGAUGAGGAGCCCUGCCGCUAGGGAGGCGCAGAUGAAAGAUGAGGAGGAUUGAGGCCUCCGACGCCCCUCCAGUCCUGCAUGCUGGCGUGGUGAGAGUAACGAGGAGGAGGAGGAAGCAUUUGUUCGUGCUCUGGCAGUGCGGAGGCACUGGCCGGCCAGAGAUGAAGGGCUCGGUUGGCGGGGGUCCUGUUUAUUGGCUCCCAGUCCUAGCGGCGAGCGCGCAAGGUCGGAGAUGGAUUUGAUCGGGUUGGGUUGGAUUGGAUUGAAAAGAAAGGGAAGGGAAGAACGUGUGUCGUCAAGGAGGAGGAAGAAGAAGAUGUAAUAAGGAUGUACGGACUCGAGUUGCCUGCUGACGAAAUGCGUGCGUUUGGGUGGAGAUUCGCGCUUCGAAGUAGAAAGCCGUGUUUAAUUCUAACACUCAUCUUGAGGAGUCACUCUCAAAGCAUACAUAUGCAGACUCGUGACGUGACAAAACACAUACCGACUGCUUGACAAGAUCUCGUCUUGGAGACUAAACAUGGACAAACGAUUGUGGUGGUAAAUCGAUGUUUCAUGAGAGCAAGCUAGAGACAACGAAACGCCUAGAGACAACGAAAUAUGGAGAAAUGAUUGUGGUGGUAGAUAUCAUGGUCUCAAUAUCCCGCAAAAAAAUUGCUCUUUCCUCUAUUGUGUACUUUUUUCUGUGCAUUACUGGUCUCCCGCGUAGUAAGACCAUAUGAAAGCAGCAGCGCAGAAUGGUCUCUCGCCUAGGCUAGGCUACCUGUGACUGAGACGGAUCUACGUUUACAUAUAGGAUCACUUUUAUCGUCACCGUCUGUCAUAGCUUCAUGUAAAAAGCUAAAGGUCAAUUUGAUUUUCUCAAGGGAAAAGUGUACUUUUAGUCCCUUAACUUUCAAACUGGACAACUUGCACCUCCAUCUCUUGAAACCAG
This 38932-nucleotide long non-coding RNA is filed under the name Triticum aestivum (bread wheat). Its description in RNAcentral is "long non-coding RNA (TAES_LNC025126)". The stretch from base 34154 to 34240 matches the Rfam family "MIR1120/MIR1122 microRNA precursor family". Lineage: Eukaryota; Viridiplantae; Streptophyta; Magnoliopsida; Poales; Poaceae. The record is from RNAcentral.